Molecule: ribosomal RNA, 253 nt
Filed under: uncultured bacterium
Lineage: Bacteria
Description: partial 16S ribosomal RNA
Rfam family: Bacterial small subunit ribosomal RNA
Source: RNAcentral
UACGUAGGGUGCAAGCGUUGUCCGGAAUUAUUGGGCGUAAAGAGCUCGUAGGCGGUCUGUCACGUCGGCUGUGAAAUCCCGAGGCUCAACCUCGGGUCUGCAGUCGAUACGGGCAAACUAGAGUAUUGCAGGGGAGACUGGAAUUCCUGGUGUAGCGGUGAAAUGCGCAGAUAUCAGGAGGAACACCGGUGGCGAAGGCGGGUCUCUGGGCGAUAACUGACGCUGAGGAGCGAAAGCGUGGGGAGCGAACAGG